Molecule: transfer RNA, 65 nt
Filed under: Hydroporus erythrocephalus
Lineage: Eukaryota; Metazoa; Arthropoda; Insecta; Coleoptera; Dytiscidae
Description: tRNA-Asn
Source: RNAcentral
UUAAUUGAAGCCAAAACAGAGGCAUAUUACUGUUAAUAAUAUAAUUGAAUUUAAUUCCAAUUAAA